UAGCGCUGUUCUUGUCCCUGGGGAUUCAGCCUCUGGAUUGGGACCUGCAGCCCAGAGAAGGGAAAUGGGGGAAAUCCAAGUUCCCAGGUACAUCAUGAUACCCUUCCAGCCUCUCCUUCCUGGAAAUUGCCAUCACCAGCGGCCAUAGCACCCCCAUGGGACCUGGGGGAUGGAGUUGGAAGCCCCCUCCGGCAACACUGGCCAGAUUGGAGAGACCAGCAGGGAAGCUCCCUCCUACCCCCAGGGAGGCUGAAGCCAGCUCUCCAUGGGCACGAAACCUGGAACCCAGGACCCUGGGGGGCAGCUGCACGGUAUUCCAGCACAAGGAUGUAUGGUAAUUUACAGAUGCACUUCUUGGCAGAGGGACCUUCAGGUUGCUUCCAGCC
Molecule: long non-coding RNA, 386 nt
Filed under: Homo sapiens (human)
Lineage: Eukaryota; Metazoa; Chordata; Mammalia; Primates; Hominidae
Description: HSALNT0363241
Source: RNAcentral